This 2061-nucleotide ribosomal RNA is filed under the name human gut metagenome. RNAcentral's name for it is "bacterial LSU rRNA". It matches the Rfam family "Bacterial large subunit ribosomal RNA", at positions 810 to 2925 of the family's 2925-position model. The record is from RNAcentral.
UGUGGAUAGCGGAGAAAUUCCAAUCGAACUCGGAGAUAGCUGGUUCUCCUCGAAAUAGUUUUAGGACUAGCCUUGUUUAGUAGUAUGUGGGGGUAGAGCACUGAAUGAGCUAGGGGCCAAACCAGGUUACUGAACUCUAUCAAACUCCGAAUACCAUGUACGUAAGAACAGGAGUCAGACUGCGGGAGCUAAGUUCCGUGGUCAAAAGGGAAAGAGCCCAGAUCGUCAAUUAAGGUCCCAAAGAUAUAGUUAAGUGGAAAACGAUGUGAUUUUGCGUAAACAACCAGGAUGUUGGCUUAGAAGCAGCCAUUCAUUUAAAGAGUGCGUAAUAGCUCACUGGUCGAGUGAAGUUGCGCGGAAAAUUACCGGGGCUAAACUAUACACCGAAAUUGCGGAUUUGCAUAGAAAUAUGUAAGUGGUAGAGGAGCAUUCUAUAGUAGGACGAAGCAUAAUCGAAAGGAUAUGUGGACGAGAUAGAAGAGAGAAUGCCGGAAUAAGUAGCGAAAGCAUGGUGAGAAUCCAUGCCAUCGAAAGUCUAAGGUUUCCUGGGGAAGGUUCGUCCGCCCAGGGUAAGUCGGGACCUAAGGAGAGGCCGAAAAGCGUAUCCGAUGGACAGCAGGUAGAAAUUCCUGCACUACGUAAUACUUAAAAGACAUAAAUGACACAGGAGUGGAAGAUAAGCGAGGAAGAGGAAAGACUCGUAUCGAAAGAUAUAGUGAAAUUAAAGUAACGAAUUAUCAAGAAGCUAAUGGCGAGAAAAGUUUAUGGAUAUUGUAUUAAGUACCCGUACCGCAAACCGACACAGGUAGAUGAGGAGAAGAUCCUAAGAUGAGCGAGAGAAGCAUUGUUAAGGAACUCGGCAAACUGACCCCGUAACUUCGGAAUAAGGGGUGCUGGAGUAGAAUCCAGUCGCAGAGAAUAGUCCCAAGCAACUGUUUAACAAAAACACAGGUUUCUGCUAAAUCGAAAGAUGAAGUAUAGGAGCUGACGCCUGCCCAGUGCUGGAAGGUUAAGGGGAAGAGUUAGAUGUAAGUCGAAGCUUAGAACCAAAGCCCCAGUGAACGGCGGCCGUAACUAUAACGGUCCUAAGGUAGCGAAAUUCCUUGUCAGGUAAGUUCUGACCCGCACGAAAGGUGUAAUGAUUUGGGAGCUGUCUCGACAAUGUACUCGGCGAAAUUGUAGUACUAGUGAAGAUGCUAGUUACCUGCGACAAGACAGAAAGACCCCAUGGAGCUUUACUGCAGCUUGAUACUGGGUUUCGGUAAUUUAUGUACAGGAUAGGUGGGAUGCUAAGAAGUAUGUGCGCCAGCGCAUAUGGAGCAGACGUUGGGAUACCACCCUUAAAUUACUGGAAUUCUAACUAUAAGUCCUAAGCGGGCUUGAGGACAAUGUCAGGCGGGCAGUUUGACUGGGGCGGUCGCCUCCUAAAGAGUAACGGAGGCGCGCAAAGGUUUCCUCAGCGCGGACAGAAAUCGCGCGAAAGAGUGCAAAGGCAGAAGGAAGCUUAACUGAGAGACUGACAAGUCGACCAGAUACGAAAGUAGGUCUUAGUGAUCCGGUGGUUGUAAGUGGAAAUGCCAUCGCUCAACGGACAAAAGUUACCCUGGGGAUAACAGGCUUAUCUCCCCCAAGAGUUCACAUCGACGGGGAGGUUUGGCACCUCGAUGUCGGCUCAUCACAUCCUGGAGCGGAAGUACGUUCCAAGGGUUGGGCUGUUCGCCCAUUAAAGUGGUACGCGAGCUGGGUUCAGAACGUCGUGAGACAGUUCGGUCCUUAUCUGUCGCAGGCGAAGGAUAUUUGAAGGGAGUUGACCUUAGUACGAGAGGACCAGGUUGAAGGAACCGAUGGUGCACCAGUUGUACUACCAAGUGCAUAGCUGGAUAGCUAAGUUCCGAAGGGAUAAACGCUGAAAGCAUCUAAGUGUGAAGCCCACCCUAAGAUAAGAUAUCCCAUAUCGAAAGAUAGUAAGAUUCCAAUAAGACUAAUUGGUAGAUAGGUUGGAGGUGUAAGUAUAGUGAUAUAUUGAGCUGACCAAUACUAAUAAAUCGAGGGCUUAACUAU